This 71-nucleotide transfer RNA is filed under the name Chelonia mydas (Green sea turtle). It matches the Rfam family "tRNA". From Rfam's summary of the family: Transfer RNA (tRNA) molecules are approximately 80 nucleotides in length. The record is from Rfam by way of RNAcentral. Lineage: Eukaryota; Metazoa; Chordata; Testudines; Cheloniidae.
AGCAGCAGAGCCUAAUGCUAGGGCACUGGAUUCACACUCAGAAGACUUAGGUUCUAUUCCUGGUGCUGCUG